GUGGGGAAUAUUGCGCAAUGGGCGAAAGCCUGACGCAGCCAUACCGCGUGUGUGAAGAAGGCCUUCGGGUUGUAAAGCACUUUCAGUGGGGAGGAAAAGCUGGUGGCUAAUAUCCAUCGGCCGUGACGCUACCCACAGAAGAAGCACCGGCUAAUUCCGUGCCAGCAGCCGCGGUAAUACGGAAGGUGCGAGCGUUAAUCGGAAUUACUGGGCGUAAAGCGCACGUAGGUGGCUUGGUAAGUCGGAUGUGAAAGCCCCGGGCUCAACCUGGGAACUGCAUUCGAUACUGCCGAGCUAGAGUACGAAAGAGGGGGGUGGAAUUCCAGGUGUAGCGGUGAAAUGCGUAGAGAUCUGGAGGAACACCAGUGGCGAAGGCGGCCCCCUGGUUCGAUACUGACGCUGAGGUGCGAAAGCGUGGGGAGCAAACAGGAUUAGAAACCCCAGUAGUCC
Molecule: ribosomal RNA, 450 nt
Filed under: uncultured bacterium
Lineage: Bacteria
Description: bacterial SSU rRNA
Rfam family: Bacterial small subunit ribosomal RNA
Source: RNAcentral